CAUUUAGACCCCAUCAUUUUGUAUGUAUAGUUGGGAUUAUAUUUUCCAGUGUGCGUUACUUUGCAUUUAUCACCAUUGAAUUCCAGCUGCCACUUUGUUGCCCAGUCACCCAGUUUUGCGAGAUCCUUUUGUAGCUCUUCGCAGUCUGCUGGGACUUAACUAUCAUGAGUAGUUUUGUAUCGUCUGCACAUUUUGCUUGGUUUUGGGAGCUUCCAAUAUGGGAAGAUUGGGAGGGGUGGAGGAGAAUCAUGCAGGAUCCUGGCAGUGAGGGUGCUGGGGGCAGGUGGUCUGAGCACCUGUCAGUGCAGCAGCCACCCGGCACUGCCCGGAUCCAGCUUCCAGCCUCUGACCUGCAUAGGGGUGGGGGGAAGGAGGCACGGCUGGCACUAAACUGAGGAGCAGGGACCCGGGUUAUUGAGACAACUUUCCUCUAGCCCACCUGAGCCCCUCCAGUAGGAAGAGGCUGGCACUGCCCCUGCUGGCCACCUGGUGUCACUGCUCUUUUAUGGGAAACACACUCUAUGCAUUACAUUAAUUGGCCCACAGGCAGGGCAAUGCUUGGGGGGCCCAGGGGCACAGCAAUGGGGGGUGGGGGUCUUGUCCCCAUCAGUUCUAAAAGGGAGGCUCUGCUGUUUCCAUGGAUACCUCUCAUGUCACCAUGGCUCUGCUGCAGGCCGAGGUAAAAAAUGGGUUGGGGUUGCUGGUUAAAGACGUCCGCUUUCCCCCCUCCCCUCCCCGUGCUUCCAGUCUGCAGGAGGGAAGGGCUGGCCUGAGAGCCGUGUUAACAUCAUCCUGUCAAAACUGUGGUGUUAGUAGGAUGCCCCUGCCCUGUGCACACAGCGAGCUGGAAGCAGCAUUCUCAGGACUGAGGGCUAGUCGGGCGCUGGAGGAGACAACACAUUCAGCCAUCUCGGAGAGACCUCGGGGGAGGACAUGGAAUAUGAAACUGGCUCUAAAGGAGCCUGGAGACCCGGAGCUUAAAGGAUCACAAAGUUCCUAAUGCCAUUGGUAGCUGAGAGAAUGGCCAGCCUGUGGCAGAGACCAAAAGAAGGAACAGCCACCCUGAGCCCAUCCCUGGGGACGGAAACCAGACAGUGAGCUGCAGAAAUUUGCUUAUGUUAAGUAUUGCGAGAGGGCUGCAAAGACUCUUGUCUGUGGAGAGAAUUGGUUAUGUUAGCCUGGGGGGUCCCUGAGGAAAGGCCUCUGCAUCUAACUGGGGCUGGCAAGCUUGGGGGGCCCUUUGUGCCCUC
This 1250-nucleotide long non-coding RNA is filed under the name Chrysemys picta bellii (western painted turtle). Its description in RNAcentral is "lncRNA (ENSCPBG00000017795.1)". The record is from RNAcentral. Lineage: Eukaryota; Metazoa; Chordata; Testudines; Emydidae.